This is a long non-coding RNA of Mytilus californianus (California mussel), 1016 nucleotides long. RefSeq lists it as uncharacterized. The transcript has 4 exons. The record is from RefSeq and is a predicted model, not a curated record. NCBI's taxonomy places the organism in Eukaryota, Metazoa, Mollusca, Bivalvia, Mytilida, Mytilidae.
ACCAUGCUGAAAAAUGAUAAACUGUAAUUCAAAGUCUUACGCAUUUGAGUCAAUAUGCAUAAUGCGCCUCAAAUUGAGAUACUAAAAACUAAAAAAAUAGGGAUUUUUUACCUCGAGAAGCAGCAUCACAAAGGGCUUUUCGGUGUGUGCUACAAUACGUGAAAACGAAUCUCACUUUGUACCCGAAAAUUUAACCACAUAUGUGAAAAUGUCUUACCUUCAUGAACCAUCAUGCAUAUCCAAGUUUACACAUUAUGAAAAUGAAGUUUCAGAAUUAUCAUUCCAGUUUAACACGAGACGGCAAAUUAUGGUUUUUUAAAAGUUGUGAAUUACUGAAAAAGUAAAAAAUACACAGAUUUAUUAAGAAAGUCAUACCGAAGAAGAUCACACAAGGAUAUUGGGAAAAAUGAUAUGAAAUAAAUCGUACGACAGAAUAUUAUUUUUAACCAAAUGUCUGUAAUUGAAGUGCAACAUUCUUGAACUAUGUGUACAACGAAAGAGUGUGUGAUAUUUAAUCUCAAGAAUAGGAGGAUGUUUUUGGCUAUUUCUCUGAUGUUUAACAUAGCCGUGUGGAAAUAUGUAGUGGUUUCAGGAUAUAUUAUUGGAUUAGUGAAUUCAACUGAUGUUUUCCGUUUCUUAUAAGUUGUCUGUUUAUAUCCUGUAGAAAGGACAUCUGGAGAAUUGUACUCUUACAAUUAAAGGAGACUGACUGUUUUUUACUUGAUUUCAAGUAUCUCUUUUGACAAAGGAUUAAUCAUGUUAAUGUGUGCCAAUGAAAGAAUUAUGGAUGACUAUGUGAAGUAAAUGUGAAUUUUUUAUCCAUGGUGAUCUUGCAUUUUGUUAAUUCAGUGCUACAACCAAUGACAAAAAUUUCAUUCGUUUGAGAUGUGCGUGGAACAAAAUUUUUUAUCCAAACAGUUUUACCAACUUUAAAUUCAUAAUCUAUACAUUUUUCAUUUACAAAUUUCAUAUAUGCUAUAUUUACUACAUUUUUGAAUAAACAAAUAUGCUGAUAA